RNAcentral lists this ribosomal RNA (253 nucleotides) under uncultured bacterium. RNAcentral's name for it is "partial 16S ribosomal RNA". It matches the Rfam family "Bacterial small subunit ribosomal RNA", at positions 524 to 776 of the family's 1533-position model. The record is from RNAcentral.
UACGGAGGGGGCAAGCGUUAUUCGGAAUUAUUGGGCGUAAAGGGCGCGUAGGCGGCUAGAUGUGUCAAAGGUGAAAUCCCUCGGCUCAACUGAGGAACUGCCUUUGAAACUGUCUGGCUUGAGGCCGGGAGAGGGUAGCGGAAUUCCCAGUGUAGCGGUGAAAUGCGUAGAUAUUGGGAGGAACACCGGUGGCGAAGGCGGGUCUCUGGGCCGAUACUGACGCUGAGGAGCGAAAGCGUGGGGAGCGAACAGG